GGGCGCUGGGAGAAGGCUCAGGACACCGAGGGGGGAGCUUUGCUGCUUCUCUGAAGGAAACCAGAAGCUGAAAUGGGUGUUGCCCUUCCUCGCGGCUCGACUGCAGCAGACACGGAACCCGGGCACGCGACGGUCCGGGCCCCAGCCCUGCCGCACGUCAAUGCGAAGCUCCGAGACGGACAUUUACACUUUGUCACGUGGGACACCAAGAUGCCUCUCCACCGACCACAGGAAGCAAAAGGGGGGCUCGGGAUGGUGGAACAAAGCAAUCAAGAAGGAACGAACAAUACCACUGGAACUCAGCGUUUAGGCCCUGAGCAGGAGUCCUCAUCCUGUUUCACAGCUAUUUACUAAGCACCUACUGUGUGAUCAGUGGAAACAUCACUGCUUGUGAUGUGGCGUUGAUUCAAGGAGGUAAAAGCUGACGACUCUCAACCUCCAAAAUGUACAAACAACAGGACAACAACGUGAACAAAAGCUCAGAGUGCUACUUACAUGCGUCCGGGUGCCUUCUAGUUCUUGUCCAUACGAACACAUCACUUCACAAGAACAGCUUGUUUCUUCGAACGCACUUCCCCAGAUAGGAUUACUGGAUCAAGGGGGUACCAAUCUUUGUGACUUUUGCCAUAUACUGCCAAAUAAUGUUCCAAAAGGCUUUUUACCAACUUACAAUGUUACCAGCAAUGAGCUAUGUUGCAUUAAAAAUGAUUAAUUAAAAAAAAAUGUAUCCUGCUGCAACCAGAAGGGAACCCAGGUUCGUUAAUGAAGAUUCAACCCCAAAGAGCCUGGUUAAGAUCUCC
This is a long non-coding RNA of Physeter macrocephalus (sperm whale), 800 nucleotides long. RefSeq lists it as uncharacterized. The transcript has 3 exons. NCBI's taxonomy places the organism in Eukaryota, Metazoa, Chordata, Mammalia, Artiodactyla, Physeteridae. The record is from RefSeq and is a predicted model, not a curated record.